GAUGAACGCUGGCGGCGUGCCUAAUACAUGCAAGUCGAGCGAACAGACGAGGAGCUUGCUUCUCUGACGUUAGCGGCGGACGGGUGAGUAACACGUGGAUAACCUACCUAUAAGACUGGGAUAACUUCGGGAAACCGGAGCUAAUACCGGAUAAUAUAUUGAGCCGCAUGGUUCAAUAGUGAAAGACGGUUUUGCUGUCACUUAUAGAUGGAUCCGCGCCGCAUUAGCUAGUUGGUAAGGUAACGGCUUACCAAGGCAACGAUGCGUAGCCGACCUGAGAGGGUGAUCGGCCACACUGGAACUGAGACACGGUCCAGACUCCUACGGGAGGCAGCAGUAGGGAAUCUUCCGCAAUGGGCGAAAGCCUGACGGAGCAACGCCGCGUGAGUGAUGAAGGUCUUCGGAUCGUAAAACUCUGUUAUUAGGGAAGAACAAAUGUGUAAGUAACUAUGCACGUCUUGACGGUACCUAAUCAGAAAGCCACGGCUAACUACGUGCCAGCAGCCGCGGUAAUACGUAGGUGGCAAGCGUUAUCCGGAAUUAUUGGGCGUAAAGCGCGCGUAGGCGGUUUUUUAAGUCUGAUGUGAAAGCCCACGGCUCAACCGUGGAGGGUCAUUGGAAACUGGAAAACUUGAGUGCAGAAGAGGAAAGUGGAAUUCCAUGUGUAGCGGUGAAAUGCGCAGAGAUAUGGAGGAACACCAGUGGCGAAGGCGACUUUCUGGUCUGUAACUGACGCUGAUGUGCGAAAGCGUGGGGAUCAAACAGGAUUAGAUACCCUGGUAGUCCACGCCGUAAACGAUGAGUGCUAAGUGUUAGGGGGUUUCCGCCCCUUAGUGCUGCAGCUAACGCAUUAAGCACUCCGCCUGGGGAGUACGACCGCAAGGUUGAAACUCAAAGGAAUUGACGGGGACCCGCACAAGCGGUGGAGCAUGUGGUUUAAUUCGAAGCAACGCGAAGAACCUUACCAAAUCUUGACAUCCUCUGACCCCUCUAGAGAUAGAGUUUUCCCCUUCGGGGGACAGAGUGACAGGUGGUGCAUGGUUGUCGUCAGCUCGUGUCGUGAGAUGUUGGGUUAAGUCCCGCAACGAGCGCAACCCUUAAGCUUAGUUGCCAUCAUUAAGUUGGGCACUCUAAGUUGACUGCCGGUGACAAACCGGAGGAAGGUGGGGAUGACGUCAAAUCAUCAUGCCCCUUAUGAUUUGGGCUACACACGUGCUACAAUGGACAAUACAAAGGGCAGCGAAACCGCGAGGUCAAGCAAAUCCCAUAAAGUUGUUCUCAGUUCGGAUUGUAGUCUGCAACUCGACUAUAUGAAGCUGGAAUCGCUAGUAAUCGUAGAUCAGCAUGCUACGGUGAAUACGUUCCCGGGUCU
Molecule: ribosomal RNA, 1372 nt
Filed under: uncultured bacterium
Lineage: Bacteria
Description: bacterial SSU rRNA
Rfam family: Bacterial small subunit ribosomal RNA
Source: RNAcentral